UACGUAGGGUGCGAGCGUUGUCCGGAAUUACUGGGCGUAAAGAGCUCGUAGGUGGUUUGUCGCGUUGUCCGUGAAAUUCCCUGGCUUAACUGGGGGCGUGCGGGCGAUACGGGCAGACUGGAGUACUGCAGGGGAGACUGGAAUUCCUGGUGUAGCGGUGGAAUGCGCAGAUAUCAGGAGGAACACCGGUGGCGAAGGCGGCCUGCUGGGCAGUAGCUGACACUGAGGCGCGGACAG
This 237-nucleotide ribosomal RNA is filed under the name uncultured bacterium. Its description in RNAcentral is "partial 16S ribosomal RNA". It matches the Rfam family "Bacterial small subunit ribosomal RNA", at positions 524 to 760 of the family's 1533-position model. The record is from RNAcentral.